RNAcentral lists this transfer RNA (73 nucleotides) under Candidatus Woesearchaeota archaeon. Its description in RNAcentral is "tRNA-Val". It matches the Rfam family "tRNA". From Rfam's summary of the family: Transfer RNA (tRNA) molecules are approximately 80 nucleotides in length. Their secondary structure includes four short double-helical elements and three loops (D, anti-codon, and T loops). Further hydrogen bonds mediate the characteristic L-shaped molecular structure. tRNAs have two regions of fundamental functional importance: the anti-codon, which is responsible for specific mRNA codon recognition, and the 3' end, to which the tRNAs corresponding amino acid is attached (by aminoacyl-tRNA synthetases). tRNAs cope with the degeneracy of the genetic code in two manners: having more than one tRNA (with a specific anti-codon) for a particular amino acid; and 'wobble' base-pairing, i.e. permitting non-standard base-pairing at the 3rd anti-codon position. The record is from RNAcentral. Lineage: Archaea; Nanobdellati; Candidatus Woesearchaeota.
GGCCCUGUGGUCUAGCGGCUAUGACGCCACCCUCACAUGGUGGAGAUCAAGGGUUCAAAUCCCUUCAGGGCCA